RNAcentral lists this ribosomal RNA (493 nucleotides) under uncultured bacterium. Its description in RNAcentral is "partial 16S ribosomal RNA". It matches the Rfam family "Bacterial small subunit ribosomal RNA", at positions 29 to 523 of the family's 1533-position model. The record is from RNAcentral.
AUUGAACGCUGGCGGCAUGCUUUACACAUGCAAGUCGAACGGUAACAGGUUAAGCUGACGAGUGGCGAACGGGUGAGUAAUGCAUCGGAACGUGCCCGAUCGUGGGGGAUAACGCAGCGAAAGCUGCGCUAAUACCGCAUACGAUCUGAGGAUGAAAGCGGGGGACCGUAAGGCCUCGCGCGAUCGGAGCGGCCGAUGUCAGAUUAGGUAGUUGGUGGGGUAAAGGCUCACCAAGCCAACGAUCUGUAGCUGGUCUGAGAGGACGACCAGCCACACUGGGACUGAGACACGGCCCAGACUCCUACGGGAGGCAGCAGCGGGGAAUUUUGGACAAUGGGCGAAAGCCUGAUCCAGCAAUGCCGCGUGCAGGAAGAAGGCCUCCGGGUUGUAAACUGCUUUUGUACGGAGCGAAAAGGCUCUCUCUAAUACAGGGGGCUCAUGACGGCACCGUAAGAAUAAGCACCGGCUAACUACGUGCCAGCAGCCGCCGUAA